This 921-nucleotide ribosomal RNA is filed under the name bacterium C14(2010). RNAcentral's name for it is "bacterial SSU rRNA". It matches the Rfam family "Bacterial small subunit ribosomal RNA", at positions 1 to 925 of the family's 1533-position model. The record is from RNAcentral.
CCUGCAGGUCGACGAUUAGAGUUUGAUCCUGGCUCAGGAUGAACGCUGGCGGCGUGCUUAACACAUGCAAGUCGAACGAUGAUCCGGUGCUUGCACCGGGGAUUAGUGGCGAACGGGUGAGUAACACGUGAGUAACCUGCCCUUGACUCUGGGAUAAGCCUGGGAAACUGGGUCUAAUACCGGAUACGACCGCUCCACGCAUGUGGUGGUGGUGGAAAGCUUUUGCGGUUUUGGAUGGACUCGCGGCCUAUCAGCUUGUUGGUGGGGUAAUGGCCUACCAAGGCGACGACGGGUAGCCGGCCUGAGAGGGUGACCGGCCACACUGGGACUGAGACACGGCCCAGACUCCUACGGGAGGCAGCAGUGGGGAAUAUUGCACAAUGGGCGAAAGCCUGAUGCAGCGACGCCGCGUGAGGGAUGACGGCCUUCGGGUUGUAAACCUCUUUCAGUAGGGAAGAAGCGAAAGUGACGGUACCUGCAGAAGAAGCGCCGGCUAACUACGUGCCAGCAGCCGCGGUAAUACGUAGGGCGCAAGCGUUAUCCGGAAUUAUUGGGCGUAAAGAGCUCGUAGGCGGUUUGUCGCGUCUGCUGUGAAAGACCGGGGCUCAACUCCGGUUCUGCAGUGGGUACGGGCAGACUAGAGUGGUGUAGGGGAGACUGGAAUUCCUGGUGUAGCGGUGAAAUGCGCAGAUAUCAGGAGGAACACCGAUGGCGAAGGCAGGUCUCUGGGCAUUAACUGACGCUGAGGAGCGAAAGCAUGGGGAGCGAACAGGAUUAGAUACCCUGGUAGUCCAUGCCGUAAACGUUGGGCACUAGGUGUGGGGGACAUUCCACGUUUUCCGCGCCGUAGCUAACGCAUUAAGUGCCCCGCCUGGGGAGUACGGCCGCAAGGCUAAACUCAAGGAAUUGACGGGGCCCGCA